CCAAAACCCCCCAUUUGUGGCUUUACAGCGUUUACGCACAAACUCUCUUUCUGAAAAUGGCGAAUGAACCACCGUCAUCCUCCUCGUGGCCAUGGUUCCUCCAGGCAGUGCCUCUCAUGGUAGUUGCAUUAAUCGCAGCUCACGUAUUCGCUCUGGUCUACUGGAUUUACAGAUUAGCGACCGAGAAACAGCCUCAAAGGAGGAAAGCACACUAAGGAGCGUCUGAUUUGGAUGCAGAAAGAUGAAGAGGGUUGGUCAAACCCUAAUCCUUCGAUUGCUCUGGAAAGAAAUACUAGCAAAUUACUAAUGAAAGCUUGUCCAUGAUUCCUUUCAUUUUUUUGGUGAAUCGACCUCUAUGUCAUAGGCAGGUGAAUUACUGAAUGGUCUUCAUAUAUUGGCCUACAUUCAGUUGCUGUUUGGGGCUAAAGAAUGUUGGUGUGCGUUGGUGCAAGGCCCAUGUUUAUUUGAUUUCCAGGGUGAGGUCGGCACUUGGCAGCUUGACACCUACCCAAAGAGACAAGAGUUGGAGAAUAAAGUCAGCCUAUCAUAAAAGUCAUAAAGGGCCAAAGAAUUAAAGCGUCAUUUGUGACUGGUUAUGAGCACAGAGCAGUCCACCGUGUAACAACGUUGUAAGCUGCGACGGUGGGUCCCAUUCACAAAAUCCACGUGUCAUAAUGGGAUGCUUAAGUGGCACAAGAGCGUCGAAAACGAGUGAUCGUCAACGUCGUUCUUGUUCUCAUUGAGCACCACGUGCCGCUAUCUUGAUCGUCAACGUCGAUGAAGCACCUCUCGCUGUCAAGCUUAUGAACUCAUGAUCGUUACCUUGUCGAUUUGUGCGGUUUAUGAGAUACUCUCAUUAUAUUUCAUUAAAUUACCACAAUGCCAUUAUAUUGCAAGAAUAAUAAAAUAAUUGUAAAAGCAGUAAUAUAUAGAUAUCUUUUGUACAUUACUUCAAGUUCAAAGGGAUGAAUACAAAAA
This is a long non-coding RNA of Juglans regia (Persian walnut), 978 nucleotides long. RefSeq lists it as uncharacterized. The transcript has 5 exons. Lineage: Eukaryota; Viridiplantae; Streptophyta; Magnoliopsida; Fagales; Juglandaceae. The record is from RefSeq and is a predicted model, not a curated record.